CUGCCACCUACCCAGGCCAGUCCAACCGCCCAUAGCAUCUCAGCGUGAUCUGGUGCUUUAAUCGCAAAUAGGCAGCUCCUCAAUGGUAGACAUGGUAAACUCCGGUCCUUCCAAAUUGAUCUCUUGGAGAACAUGCACGUUGUCGCUAUUCAACUUGGUGCAGAUCUCGGCAUGUUUUGGUGACACGGAUCGAACCAUCAAGAUUCGGCAACUCUCGCAGGACCGUUUGAAGGUUGUACAGGGUCAAGAACAGCUUCAUGCACUGCAACUAUCUCCACUGGCCUGUGGACGCUUGGGACAAGUAGGAAGACGGUGACCAGGUUCGCCGCAGUAUAUGCAUACACCAAGGGAGAUAUGACAUUGUCGUUCUUCAGGGAGAAGAGUAUGGGACGCCGCAUCAAGCUCCAUGGGGGCAGGUCCAAAUGGAUCCCUGGCAGGCAUCACAGAGCGCUCAGCAGGAGGUGCCAUCACACGAGCAGGAACAGCAGCAGUUCGCCUCUGCGUGAAGACCCGCAGCAGAUCCUCACUAUUGAGUGCCUGAUUCGGAGAUCCGAUGCCAGCAUUUCGAUGGCUUUGUGUUCUUCUUCGGCGCUCGGCUAUGAUCCGCGCGAGAAAAGAGAAAAUGGGGGCCGGGCACUGGGAUCGAGUUGAGUGCAGUCUGUUGUUUUAAGCGGAUUUAUGGGAUCUCACAAAACAUAGAGACCGGGAGGCUCGGCGGUGAGGAAAUCAUCGAGCACGCCGAGACCGAACGGAGUGGGAUUGUCUGAAGGCACAACCAGGUAGAAAGUGAGAUUCCUGGAAGAAGAAGCUGAUCACUUCGGUGCAGCGCCUCGGAUAUGAGAGCGAGGGUGAUCCUGCGAGAAAGAGUGAUGCAACCACGGGGAAGAGGAUGAACUUUGCGAUGUUUGAGGAGUCGCCGUGAAGAUAAACUUAUUGAAACAUGCGGCCCGAAGAGGCCGGCCAUGAAACUGGGCAGCCCACAUGUUCCUCACUUGCUCUCUUGGCAUGGAGCAAAAGCUUUAGCAAACUAGAAACUAUAGCAGCCAGGAAGACGAUAUCAAUGCACCUGAUCUUUCCACCUGA
RNA transcript from Selaginella moellendorffii, 1083 nucleotides. RefSeq lists it as uncharacterized. The transcript is spliced from 2 exons. The record is from RefSeq and is a predicted model, not a curated record. Lineage: Eukaryota; Viridiplantae; Streptophyta; Lycopodiopsida; Selaginellales; Selaginellaceae.